This is a non-coding RNA of Xyrichtys novacula (pearly razorfish), 956 nucleotides long. The record is from the annotation of a GenBank genome assembly. NCBI's taxonomy places the organism in Eukaryota, Metazoa, Chordata, Actinopteri, Labriformes, Labridae.
CACAGACGCACGUUGCCUGUCCUCCUGUUUCACUUGCGUCUCUGCUCUCCAGCAUCAUCACUGUCGCAACGGUUGCAAAUAAACCACAGUGUGAGCAAACCACUUCUACUUCUCUAACUAAUUCUUGGAAACAUGAAAGUCCCCCCCGCCUGCUUACUUGAGAAAACUGCUCUUACAGAAGUUCAACAAGAGGAAACAAAAAAAGGACAAGCUGGAUGAUCUCUCACAUCCUCCUCCAUGCGUCUAAGGUUUCAUCUGUGUUAAAAAUUUUACAUCCUUCAGUCAAAGUAACUGAUUCACAUCAACACUUUCAUUCACAAUGCGGAAGAAAACGUUUAAAUCUGUUAAUCGGAGAAUUGAUCUGGAAGAACAUUGUGAACUCUAGAAGCUGAUUGGCUGUUGGCCGCAUUUUUGAUUACAGAGGUGAUAAAGUUCAAGCAAUCAGCCUUGAAGUUUUGUGAAGAUCAAAAAUGCUAAUUUAGUUGACAUGUUAUGUUGCAGUUUUAUCGAUUCAAGCUCAAAGUUAAAAGCUAAGUGUGAAUAUAGUGGAUGAUAACAGGAUGGUAAAAAAAAAAUACCUGUCACAGAAAAUUUAAAUUUGAAAAAAACACAAAUAUUUAAUUAAAUAUAUCAAAAUUAUAAUUGGAUGAAAACUGUUUUUUUUUUAAAUAAAAUUACUUGUUUUCCUUCUGCGUAAAGAUUUUCAGGCCUUUCUUUUACUAGUUUAACUACUUUUCUGUCACUAGAGGGCACCACUGUGUAAUAAAAAUAUCUUCCGAUGCACAAAAAGACCUUUUCUUGACAAUUUGUUUCUUUGCACCAUCGCUGAAAUUUCACUUUUUCACCCUCUACUAUCACUUUCAGCCCUUAACCACAGAUGGCGGACUUCAUGUAGUCCAGAUGGAAGCAAGAGCACCCUGACUCUGCAGAGGCUGAUGGAGUAUAUAUAAAGGAGG